UUAAUUAAGACCAAAACAGAGGUAAAUUAUUGUUAAUAAUUUUAUUGAACUUAAUAUUCUAAUUAAU
Molecule: transfer RNA, 67 nt
Filed under: Pheidole flavigaster
Lineage: Eukaryota; Metazoa; Arthropoda; Insecta; Hymenoptera; Formicidae
Description: tRNA-Asn
Source: RNAcentral